AUGACUAGGGAUAACCUUAGGAAGAGACACAUCAUCAAACCCCUUGAUUGUGUUUACUGCUUGGAAUAAGAGUCUUGUUCUCACCUAUUUUUUGAAUGUAUAGUUGCUAAACAUAUCUGGGCCCACAUUGAGGAAUAUUUCUCUAGUCAGAUUGGCUCAUCCUUUGAAUCUGUCGCCAGAUUCUGGAUUGCUACCCAAAAGUGCUUAGUUUUAAAUACUAUUAGCUCAGCUGUCCUUUGGUGCCUCUAGAAAUAUAGAAAUGCUAUGACUUUCAGUAACACCUCCUGGAUUUCCAUUCCGCAGGUCUUGAGGUUGAUCGGGAACAUGGUGAGGAACUGGGCGAUUCUCUCCUCCGGAUCGGACAAGGACAAGUUGAUGAGCUUCGUGGAAACCCUAACAAGAUCCCUCCAGAAGCCGUUGGUGAUCACUUGUGGCUGA
Molecule: ribosomal RNA, 438 nt
Filed under: Triticum aestivum (bread wheat)
Lineage: Eukaryota; Viridiplantae; Streptophyta; Magnoliopsida; Poales; Poaceae
Description: partial small subunit ribosomal RNA
Source: RNAcentral